GAAUUAUGCUGGUUUCCUAUCAGCUUACUUUUAUCUUUAAGCAGUUGAGGAAUAAACUCAUAUUCAGAAGUCUCUCAAGAACAUUUGUGUAACAGCUGGUUCAGUGUCAACAACCCCAAGUCAUUUACACAGGCAUUCAGUUUGUUAGGUUCUUGAAUGGUUCCUCCAUCUCAACCCUGGUACUUAUAUUCUUAAUAAAAACACGUCCUUCACAUCUUAGCUGCUGCUUCCACCUUCACUUACUAUUAUGCCUCCAGCCUACAUUAGAAAAUCAGUAGUGGUAUCCAGCUUCUUUUAUGUGGUUUCACCUUGUGAGAAUCUCUGCACCUCUUUCUGCUUCUCUUUGUGGAUUCUGUGAGUGCUGAUGCAAGAAUUAUAAAUUGAUACAUAGAAAUAGUUUUUCAGAGGGUUGUCAUGGUACAGUAGUUGCUAUUGUCAAUGGAAAAAUAGGAUGGCGGCUAUCCUAUCAUUGCCACAGUGCCCGCUUUCCUGCUCCCAGGGGCAGUGCAUUCCAGCCCCAUGUAAAUUACUCACUCCUACAGGUCUGAAGAUGUCACAUCUCAGGGGGACUCUGUCUUGUCUGAAGGAAAGUCUAAGCUGUUCUCAUGUCCCAAACCCCCUCAUUUCUCCUGAUGCUCC
This 639-nucleotide long non-coding RNA is filed under the name Bos taurus (domestic cattle). RNAcentral's name for it is "long non-coding RNA NONBTAT023533". Lineage: Eukaryota; Metazoa; Chordata; Mammalia; Artiodactyla; Bovidae. The record is from RNAcentral.